This 497-nucleotide ribosomal RNA is filed under the name uncultured bacterium. Its description in RNAcentral is "partial 16S ribosomal RNA". It matches the Rfam family "Bacterial small subunit ribosomal RNA", at positions 28 to 507 of the family's 1533-position model. The record is from RNAcentral.
GAUGAACGCUGGCGGCGUGCCUAAUACAUGCAAGUCGAGCGAACAGACGAGGAGCUUGCUCCUCUGACGUUAGCGGCGGACGGGUGAGUAACACGUGGAUAACCUACCUAUAAGACUGGGAUAACUUCGGGAAACCGGAGCUAAUACCGGAUAAUAUAUUGAACCGCAUGGUUCAAUAGUGAAAGACGGUUUUGCUGUCACUUAUAGAUGGAUCCGCGCCGCAUUAGCUAGUUGGUAAGGUAACGGCUUACCAAGGCGACGAUGCGUAGCCGACCUGAGAGGGUGAUCGGCCACACUGGAACUGAGACACGGUCCAGACUCCUACGGGAGGCAGCAGUAGGGAAUCUUCCGCAAUGGGCGAAAGCCUGACGGAGCAACGCCGCGUGAGUGAUGAAGGUCUUCUGAUCGUAAAACUCUGUUAUUAGGGAAGAACAAAUGUGUAAGUAACUAUGCACGUCUUGACGGUACCUAAUCAGAAAGCCACGGCUAACUACGUG